Long non-coding RNA from Heterocephalus glaber (naked mole-rat), 2709 nucleotides. The record is from Ensembl. NCBI's taxonomy places the organism in Eukaryota, Metazoa, Chordata, Mammalia, Rodentia, Bathyergidae.
UGGAGAGAAGGUUGCAGGCAGCAAUGAGAGGAAUAUGUCUUUGGCAGAGUAGGAGACCUGAGCAUUCCUAGAGAGAAUGGGUGGGGGUGAGGACAGGACAGAAGAGGGGGCCAGUGGUCCCUAGGACCCUGCACAUCCAAACUUCCCUGUUCACUCAUUCGUGCAAUGCCAUUUCCACAGUAGCCACUGUAGGCCCAGCUCCACAUCAGGCUCAGACAGCAGAGAAACCCCCAUCAAAUCCAAGCCUGGGCUGCAGGAAGUUUCCACUCUUGGCAAUAAAACCAAUUGGGUUUUAUAAAGAGGGAAGUUGUGGGAGGCAUGCAGAGGACAUGCAGGAAUACUUGUUGAUGAAAACCACAAAGAAGCAAAGAAGGUGAAGGACAGGGGAGAGGGAGAACAGGGAGCAAGGGGCACAGAGGUAGGUGAGCUCAAAGGAGUGUUUAUAAGCACCUGCUGUUUGCCUGGAGCUCUACUGCCUUGUGCAGUUUUGCAUUUCAGUUUUGUGAUCAUCUUGACAAUGAGGAGCAGUAAUCACCAUCCGACAUGAGUAUCUGACCCCUAGGGAGGGUUCCAAACUAGCCAAGGGCACUCAGCCAGGAUGUGGCAGGUUCAAGGCCAGGUCAAAGUCCAGCACCAGAAAUUCUUUCACCUAAUGUGCAACUUCCCAGGAGUUUGGUGGCUGCCUCUGCACUUUGAUUUGAUGGCCCUGGCCUGGCUCUUCAACACCUCCUCCUUGCAAUGACUAAAUGAUAGCCACUCCUUUCAUAAGGGCACAGGGCCUCUAGAAGGGGUCUGAUGUGGAUGAAAUGGUGCCAUAAACUGUCCAUCCCCACUAAACACAGGGGCUGGAACUUACUCCCAAUGUAAGGGGAUCACCCAGAAACAAUAUCAGGACUUUUCUUCUUUUCUUUUCCUUUUGCAAGAAGAAAUGCCAUCAAACGAAUAGUAUUGUUCUAGGGACCAGAAGAGCUUGCAGUUAAAAAAUCUUUACCAGUUACAAUUUUGAUAACAUUUUAUAAAUGAGGAAAUUGAGGUUUAGGGAGGCAAAGUGACUUGCUCAGUCUCAAACACUUGGUCCAUCUUUGUCCCAGGUAUGAGCUCUCUAUCAUCACAGAGCACUCUGGCCUACAUUCUGGUGAUAGAGCAGAACUCUAUCCUGCUACCCACUACUGCCUAGGGAGAGAUUCCCAGUUUCUCCGCAGAAAAGAUGAUGUGUGGUCCCAAUCCUGCCCACUUUAUAUGAUGCUCUUAGGCAGUUAAAAUCUGUCCACCAGAGACAAAGGGGACAAAAAUAACACUUACCAUGUGGCACGACUGACACAAGUGGAUAAUACCCUUGUGGCACGAGGGGAUACCUCAGCACGUGUUUCCUAAAGCUAUAGAGAAGACACCAUGAAUUGGUGAACUAAAGCAUCUGGCCCACAUUUUGAGCAGUUAUCAUCACCAUCAUCCUCACUGCCUCCCUCAACUGUAAGGAAAACACCCAAUUUCAUUCUCAGAUGUUUGAUGUCCUAAGGGAGUGAGCAGAGAUAGGAUGUCUGGUUCCUCCACUGCUGACUUUCUGUGUGAUCUUAGAUGAGUCACUAGCCUCUCGGGGACCCUGUUUCCCUAUAUGUUCAUUCAUCUAUUUGCUUACUAUUUGCUUACCCAUCCAACUGCACAUCCAUCCACCAACCCAUCCACCCAUCCAUCUACCCACCUAUCCAUCCACUCAUCCAUCUACCCACCUAUCCACCAAUCCACCUAUCCACCUAUCCAUCCAUCCAUUCGUCCAUCCACUCACCCAUCCACCCAUCCACCCACCCACUCAUGCACCUAUCCAUCCAUCCACCCAUCCAUCCACCUACCCAUCCACCCACUCAUGCAUCUAUCAGUUAUCUAUAAAUUUUGUUUGCACAUCUCCUAUGCAUUGAGUGGCUCUUAGGUUCUGGGAGUGCAGCAAGCUCCUGCCUCUUGCUCUCUGGAGGUGAUCGUACAUGAAAGUCUAGCAACACAAGGGCCCAACUCUUUCUCACCACUAAUGCUCUAUUCCUGGGAAGGCAGUACAGCACAGUGGUUAAACGCUGGGCUUUGUAACUCAAUAGACCUCAAUUUGAAUGGUUUCUUUCCUAUUAACAGCCAUGGAACCUUGAACAGCUGGUGUAAACUCUUUGAAACUUUUUCAGUAAAGACCAUCAUUUAAGAAUCAAUGUUACACCUUAUUUACACUUUCAGUUUCUCACACUAGAGAAACCAUUUGGUAUUUACACAUGUGUCCUAUUUAUUUCACUUAAGAAUAUGGCCUCAAAAUGAUUAAAAUGAAUAAUUGAUAAUUUGAAAUAGGAAAAGGUCCAAAGGUAUAGGGGUGGUGGGAGGGGAAGGGGAAAUGAAAGAAGGGAAAGGAAAUAUUAUGAGAAAAGAAAAAAAAAUGGAACCAAAAUCUAUGUAAAUAGGGAAGGGUGGAGGGGGUGAAGGGUGCACAGGUAAUGGGGGAAAAAAUAGGAACCAAGAUACAUCAUGUACAGGUACACGCACCCAAUGAUAAAUGUAAAUGCAUUGUACCUAAAAUGUGCCAAUAAAAGAAUUUAAGGAAAAAAAGAAUAAAUGUUACAAUUAUUAUAAAUUAUUUAGGGGUAGUGCACAUAUCACAUAGUAAACUUCCAUCCAUCCAUUUAUACAUCCACCCAUCCUUUCAACAAAUGUAUUGUGAGCACCUAUCCAUGUACCAGC